RNAcentral lists this ribosomal RNA (333 nucleotides) under Triticum aestivum (bread wheat). Its description in RNAcentral is "partial small subunit ribosomal RNA". Lineage: Eukaryota; Viridiplantae; Streptophyta; Magnoliopsida; Poales; Poaceae. The record is from RNAcentral.
AUGCACAUAAGCAAUAUGACCAACGCGCCGCAGAUCCCGAGCUUCCGAGAAUUGCUCUCUGCAGCUGCAAGAAGCCGCCAGACUGCGCCUGGUACGGCUCUGGAUGCUUGUCCCAGAAUCCAGUGGCAAGCCCAUGCCGUCGUGCUCAUGGAGAGCGAGAGAAGAAAACAAGAGCUAGGCUGGGAGAAACGCAGAAAUCCAAGCACCCCCGCCACGCUGCUCUCUCCGAAAUGCAGAAUCCAAGCAUCUUCACCCGAGCUGCUUUUCCAGUUCCCACACCCUCCUCUCAGUCCUGUGGCAUACAGACACACACCUCUGCAUGUUCAGAGAUGA